GACGAACGCUGGCGGCGUGCUUAACACAUGCAAGUCGAACGGAAAGGCCCUGCUUUUGUGGGGUGCUCGAGUGGCGAACGGGUGAGUAACACGUGAGUAACCUGCCCUUGACUUUGGGAUAACUUCAGGAAACUGGGGCUAAUACCGGAUAGGAGCUCCUGCUGCAUGGUGGGGGUUGGAAAGUUUCGGCGGUUGGGGAUGGACUCGCGGCUUAUCAGCUUGUUGGUGGGGUAGUGGCUUACCAAGGCUUUGACGGGUAGCCGGCCUGAGAGGGUGACCGGCCAGAUUGGGACUGAGAUACGGCACAGACUCCUACGGGAGGCAGCAGUGGGGAAUAUUGCACAAUGGGCGGAAGCCUGAGGCAGCAACGCCGCGUGCGGGAUGACGGCCUUCGGGUUGUAAACCGCUUUCGCCUGUGACGAAGCGUGAGUGACGGUAAUGGGUAAAGAAGCACCGGCUAACUACGUG
This 468-nucleotide ribosomal RNA is filed under the name uncultured bacterium. RNAcentral's name for it is "partial 16S ribosomal RNA". It matches the Rfam family "Bacterial small subunit ribosomal RNA", at positions 28 to 507 of the family's 1533-position model. The record is from RNAcentral.